GGCCGGGCGCGGUGGCUCACGCCUGUAAUCCCAGCACUUUGGGAGGCCGAGGCGGGUGGACCACAAGGUCAGGAGAUCGAGACCAUCCUGGCUAACACGGUGAAACCCCGUCUCUACUAAAAAUAUAAAAAAUUAGCCGGGCGUGGUGGCGGGCGCCUGUAGUCCCAGCUACUCGGGAGGCUGAGGCAGGAGAAUGGCGUGAAGCCGGGAGGCGGAGCUUGCAGUGAGCCGAGAUUGCGCCACUGCACUCCAGCCUGGGUGACAGAACGAGAC
RNAcentral lists this long non-coding RNA (273 nucleotides) under Homo sapiens (human). Its description in RNAcentral is "HSALNT0366494". The record is from RNAcentral. Lineage: Eukaryota; Metazoa; Chordata; Mammalia; Primates; Hominidae.